AACAGGAUUAGAUACCCUGGUAGUCCACGCUGUAAACGAUGUCGACUUGGAGGUUGCGCCCUUGAGGCGUGGCUUCCGGAGCUAACGCGUUAAGUCGACCGCCUGGGGAGUACGGCCGCAAGGUUAAAACUCAAAUGAAUUGACGGGGGCCCGCACAAGCGGUGGAGCAUGUGGUUUAAUUCGAUGCAACGCGAAGAACCUUACCUACUCCUGACAUCCAGAGAAUUUGCUAGAGAUAGCUUAGUGCCUUCGGGAACUCUGAGACAGGUGCUGCAUGGCUGUCGUCAGCUCGUGUUGUGAAAUGUUGGGUUAAGUCCCGCAACGAGCGCAACCCUUAUCCUUUGUUGCCAGCGAGUAAUGUCGGGAACUCAAAGGAGACUGCCGGUGAUAAACCGGAGGAAGGUGGGGAUGACGUCAAGUCAUCAUGGCCCUUACGAGUAGGGCUACACACGUGCUACAAUGGCAUAUACAAAGAGAAGCGAACUCGCGAGAGCAAGCGGACCUCAUAAAGUAUGUCGUAGUCCGGAUUGGAGUCUGCAACUCGACUCCAUGAAGUCGGAAUCGCUAGUAAUCGUAGAUCAGAAUGCUACGGUGAAUACGUUCCCGGGCCUUGUACACACCGCCCGUCACACCAUGGGAGUGGGUUGCAAAAGAAGUAGGUAGCUUAACCUUCGGGAGGGCGCUUACCACUUUGUGAUUCAUGACUGGGGUGAAGUCGUAACAAGGUAACC
RNAcentral lists this ribosomal RNA (731 nucleotides) under uncultured bacterium. Its description in RNAcentral is "bacterial SSU rRNA". It matches the Rfam family "Bacterial small subunit ribosomal RNA", at positions 771 to 1501 of the family's 1533-position model. The record is from RNAcentral.